UACGUAGGGGGCAAGCGUUAUCCAGAUUUACUGGGCGUAAAGCGCGUGUAGGCGGCCAGGUAGGUCUGCUGUGAAAACUCGAGGCUCAACCUCGAGACGUCGGCGGAAACCAUCUGGCUAGAGUCCGGAAGAGGAGAGUGGAAUUCCUGGUGUAGCGGUGAAAUGCGCAGAUAUCAGGAAGAACACCCGUGGCGAAGGCGGCUCUCUGGGACGGUACUGACGCUGAGACGCGAAAGCGUGGGGAGCGAACAGG
Molecule: ribosomal RNA, 253 nt
Filed under: uncultured bacterium
Lineage: Bacteria
Description: partial 16S ribosomal RNA
Rfam family: Bacterial small subunit ribosomal RNA
Source: RNAcentral